CAGUCGCCGCGGUAAUACGAAGGGUGCAAGCGUUAAUCGGAAUUACUGGGCGUAAAGCGUGCGUAGGCGGUUUGUUAAGUCUGUUGUGAAAUUCCCGGGCUCAACCUGGGAAUGGCAAUGGAUACUGGCAAGCUAGAGUGUGUCAGAGGAUGGUGGAAUUCCCGGUGUAGCGGUGAAAUGCGUAGAGAUCGGGAGGAACAUCAGUGGCGAAGGCGGCCAUCUGGGACAACACUGACGCUGAGGCACGAAAGCGUGGGGAGCAAACAGGAUUAGAUACCCCAGUAGUCCCUGUCUCUUAUAU
This 301-nucleotide ribosomal RNA is filed under the name uncultured bacterium. Its description in RNAcentral is "partial 16S ribosomal RNA". It matches the Rfam family "Bacterial small subunit ribosomal RNA", at positions 509 to 809 of the family's 1533-position model. The record is from RNAcentral.